Molecule: non-coding RNA, 66 nt
Organism: Dipodomys ordii (Ord's kangaroo rat)
Lineage: Eukaryota; Metazoa; Chordata; Mammalia; Rodentia; Heteromyidae
Source: Rfam
AGUGUAGCUCAGAGGUAAGAGCAUUUGCCUGAGGUGCACAAGGUCCUGGGUUCAAAGCCUGGCACU